GAGUUGCGAACGGGUGAGUAACGCGUAGGUAACCUGCCUUGUAGCGGGGGAUAACUAUUGGAAACGAUAGCUAAUACCGCAUAACAAUGGAUGACACAUGUCAUUUAUUUGAAAGGGGCAAUUGCUCCACUACAAGAUGGACCUGCGUUGUAUUAGCUAGUAGGUGAGGUAAUGGCUCACCUAGGCGACGAUACAUAGCCGACCUGAGAGGGUGAUCGGCCACACUGGGACUGAGACACGGCCCAGACUCCUACGGGAGGCAGCAGUAGGGAAUCUUCGGCAAUGGGGGCAACCCUGACCGAGCAACGCCGCGUGAGUGAAGAAGGUUUUCGGAUCGUAAAGCUCUGUUGUAAGUCAAGAACGGGUGUGAGAGUGGAAAGUUCACACUGUGACGGUAGCUUACCAGAAAGGGACGGCUAACUACGUGCCAGCAGCCGCGGUAAUACGUAGGUCCCGAGCGUUGUCCGGAUUUAUUGGGCGUAAAGCGAGCGCAGGCGGUUUGAUAAGUCUGAAGUUAAAGGCUGUGGCUCAACCAUAGUUCGCUUUGGAAACUGUCAAACUUGAGUGCAGAAGGGGAGAGUGGAAUUCCAUGUGUAGCGGUGAAAUGCGUAGAUAUAUGGAGGAACACCGGUGGCGAAAGCGGCUCUCUGGUCUGUAACUGACGCUGAGGCUCGAAAGCGUGGGGAGCGAACAGGAUUAGAUACCCUGGUAGUCCACGCCGUAAACGAUGAGUGCUAGGUGUUGGAUCCUUUCCGGGAUUCAGUGCCGCAGCUAACGCAUUAAGCACUCCGCCUGGGGAGUACGACCGCAAGGUUGAAACUCAAAGGAAUUGACGGGGGCCCGCACAAGCGGUGGAGCAUGUGGUUUAAUUCGAAGCAACGCGAAGAACCUUACCAGGUCUUGACAUCCCACGUACGUACGUAGAGAUAGAAAGUUACUUCGGUACAUCGGUGACAGGUGGUGCAUGGUUGUCGUCAGCUCGUGUCGUGAGAUGUACGACUAGCUACGAUCGCGAGCGCAACCCCUAUUGUUAGUUGCCAUCAUUCAGUUGGGCACUCUAGCGAGACUGCCGGUAAUAAACCGGAGGAAGGUGGGGAUGACGUCAAAUCAUCAUGCCCCUUAUGACCUGGGCUACACACGUGCUACAAUGGUUACGACGACUAGCAUGUACUCGGUGACGGCGAGCUAAUCUCUUAAAGCCAAUCUCAGUUCGGAUUGUAGGCUGCAACUCGCCUACAUGAAGUCGGAAUCGCUAGUAAUCGCGGAUCAGCACGCCGCGGUGAAU
This 1285-nucleotide ribosomal RNA is filed under the name Streptococcus thermophilus. Its description in RNAcentral is "bacterial SSU rRNA". It matches the Rfam family "Bacterial small subunit ribosomal RNA", at positions 93 to 1367 of the family's 1533-position model. The record is from RNAcentral. Lineage: Bacteria; Bacillati; Bacillota; Bacilli; Lactobacillales; Streptococcaceae.